Long non-coding RNA from Equus caballus (horse), 567 nucleotides. The record is from Ensembl. NCBI's taxonomy places the organism in Eukaryota, Metazoa, Chordata, Mammalia, Perissodactyla, Equidae.
CACAGAUGCAUGAAAUCAUAUGGUAUUUGACUUUCUCCAUCUGACUUAUUUUGCUCAACAUAAUGCCCUCAAGUUUCAUUCAUGUUGUUGCAAAAGGCAAGAUUUCAUUCUUUUCUUUACAGCCAAUGAGGUGGAAGCAGAUUGGAGCCAGAGUGCCUCAGAAGUGCUAAGGAAGUGGAGGCACUGGGAAUCUCUGAGGACAGGCCUGUGGGAUAAGUAUGAAAACCAUAGAAUCAUUUCAAAAUUUAUUAAAGGUUGUCAACGACCCAGAUGAGGAACCCUUGGCCUUCAUUGUUUUGAGUGAUAUUAUGCAGAACCAAUCUGAAGACAGCAGCUUGCCAAGUCAACCUGCUGCUCUCUAUGAGUCUUGUAAGACUUCAUUCAGAACUCUGGAUUGUUUCACAAGAUGCUUUGGGAAGAGAUAAUACACAUAGAAAUUCCAUGGCCUGAGACCAUGCAUGCUACAAAUACAGACCCAUGAAUGGAUAUAAAUACACCUCUACUGACACAUUCCUCUCUUUACUUUUGUUAUUCUCUUGGUAAUCUUAUAAUAAACGCUGGCAUGCU